RNAcentral lists this ribosomal RNA (254 nucleotides) under uncultured bacterium. RNAcentral's name for it is "partial 16S ribosomal RNA". It matches the Rfam family "Bacterial small subunit ribosomal RNA", at positions 524 to 776 of the family's 1533-position model. The record is from RNAcentral.
GACGUAGGGCGCGAGCGUUUGUCCGGAUUUAUUGGGCGUAAAGAGCUUGUAGGCGGUCUGUCGCGUCUGCUGUGAAAAUCCGGGGCUCAACCCCGGACUUGCAGUGGGUACGGGCAGACUAGAGUGUGGUAGGGGAGACUGGAAUUCCUGGUGUAGCGGUGAAAUGCGCAGAUAUCAGGAGGAACACCGAUGGCGAAGGCAGGUCUCUGGGCCACUACUGACGCUGAGAAGCGAAAGCAUGGGGAGCGAACAGG